GAUGAAGAACGUAGCGAAAUGCGAUACGUAGUGUGAAUUGCAGAAUUCAGUGAAUCAUCGAAUCUUUGAACGCACAUUGCACCUCUCGGUAUUCCGGGAGGUAUGCCGUUCGAGCGUCAUUCGUACCCUCAAGCUCUGCUUGGUGUUGGGUGUUUGUUCCGCCUCUGUGUGUGAACUCGCCUCAAAACAAUUGGCAGCCGGCGUACUUGUUUCGGAGCGCAGCACAUUUUGCGAUCCAGAUCAACGUACAGCGGCAUCCAAGAAGCCUUAUUUAACGCUCUUGACCUCGGAUCAGGUAGGGAUACCCGCUGAACUUAAGCAUAUCAAUAAGCGGAGGA
RNAcentral lists this unclassified non-coding RNA (338 nucleotides) under soil metagenome. Its description in RNAcentral is "partial contains 5.8S ribosomal RNA, internal transcribed spacer 2, and large subunit ribosomal RNA". The stretch from base 1 to 119 matches the Rfam family "5.8S ribosomal RNA", at positions 35 to 154 of the family's 154-position model. The record is from RNAcentral.